CUGGAUCGCUCCUCCGUGAGGCUUGUGCAGGCACAAGGAACACAGCGGCGGCCUCCCUGUACCCUCGGGUCAUAUCUGCUAUCCUUGGUAGCAAUGGCUUCGUCGGCCAGAUUCGGUGCCUUGGUGGCCGGAUCCGGUGUCUCUAAGGUUGGAUCUGCAUGGUGCUUUUUCGGCAGGGCGCAACGGCGGCAGUGGAGCCACGAUGGGCCGCAGACCACUGGUCAGUCUCCAUCGAUUGGGCACAUGAGGUAGGUGACAGGGGAAGGAAGGGGUAGUAGAGAUUCUUGUGUGCUUGUUCAAUGAGAGAUUACUUAAUUAUCCAAUCAGAGGAGCUCCUGCCGUGGUUGAGGAGGCAAAUCAGAACUGAGAAAAAUCUAUUCACAGUCAUAAUGCGACUGGCUCUUUUUUGUCUUUUUUUCCUGAAGCUGUAACUGGAGUCUCAAUUGCCAAUCUAAAGCUUAACACUACUCAAAUAGGAAUUCUGGUUUAUUUCCAAUUGACAGUCACUGAAAAAUAAUAUCCAGUAUGCAAGUCCUUACCGGGUGUAGGAGGCUAAGUGCAGUGCCAACGUUUUCAAGGGCGUUUGGAAGAGCAUUAGCUGGUUUCAUGUACAGUUAGUGAUGAUGCCAUGAUAUUGAUUUUGGACACCUGACGUGAGAGCUUUAUUAUAAUAGUUUUUGCUAACUUGAAUGUAACGAGCCUAAUGUCAAAUUCAAGGAAGCAGGGCACACUAAAAUGUACUUCCCUCAAGUGUUUAGCCAUAACGAUCAUGAUACAACAUGUUCUCAUGGAGCUUCCAUCACCUGAGUGGGGAGCAGCACGUCACGGGUGUGAGCGCAUGCACUGGCGCAAGUGGAAUCAAAUUGGAGGAGGUUACUAUUCUGAAUUACGCCUACACAAAGCUCUUCGACUUCAUCUUAAGGUGGAAUAUGGGUAUUGCUGAACAAUAUGAAGCCAUGUUUUAUCUUGGAAUUUGACAGAAUGGAAAUUGGCUUUGCUGGUAGUCUCUUCGGAUUGUUUAGCUAGGUGAACAUACCUUAUUGUACGAACAACUGAUCUACUGACGCUCUUGCCAUACCGAAGUAUAAAUAAUCUUUA
This is a long non-coding RNA of Sorghum bicolor (sorghum), 1098 nucleotides long. RefSeq lists it as uncharacterized. The transcript has 4 exons. NCBI's taxonomy places the organism in Eukaryota, Viridiplantae, Streptophyta, Magnoliopsida, Poales, Poaceae. The record is from RefSeq and is a predicted model, not a curated record.